Non-coding RNA from Callorhinus ursinus (northern fur seal), 4488 nucleotides. The record is from RefSeq and is a predicted model, not a curated record. NCBI's taxonomy places the organism in Eukaryota, Metazoa, Chordata, Mammalia, Carnivora, Otariidae.
AAGACGGAGCGCGAACCUGUGGGUUGUGGGAGUUUUGGGGGCGAGUUCGGCUUUUGCCGGCUCUGGAAGUUUCAGAUUCCUGUGGAAGAUUCUGGGAAUGUGCCUCUGAACACCUGCAAAACAGCUGACGUUCAUUACAUAGCUCAGCAUCUGAACUAUGUCUCAGGAAGGUGAUUAUGGGAAGUGGACAAUAUCCAGUAGUGAUGAAAGUGAGGAGGAAAAGCCAAAACUAGACAAGCCAUCUACCUCUUCCCUCCCUCAUGCUGGGCAGGGAGCAGCAAAUGAACCAAGAUACACCUGUUCUGAGGCUAGGAAAGCUGCCCAUAAAAGGAAAUUAUCACCUGUAAAAUUCAGCACAGAUUCACAAGCUUCACCUCCCAAAAAGCAGAAGAGUGGUUCCCAGGAAGACCUGGGUUGGUGUCUCUCUAGCAGUGAUGAUGAACUGCAACCAGGAACACAGCAGAAGCAGGCUAAGAACAUGGUGGUCAAAGAAGAGAGCGGCAUCUCUUUUCCCAAAGACAGUGUCACCCAAAGAACUGGAAAUAAUGGCUCUCCUGCCCACCAUGGACUAAAAGAGGAGGAAGAGGAGUAUGAGACCUCAGGGGAAGGCCAAGAUAUUUGGGAUAUGUUGGAAAAAGGGAACCCCUUCCAAUUUUACCUCACUAGAGUCUCUGGAAUUAAGGCAAAGUAUAACGCUGGAGCCCUCCACAUCAAGGAUAUUCUGUCUCCUCUCUUUGGGACACUUGUAUCUUCAGCUCAGUUUAACUACUGCUUUGACGUGGACUGGCUCAUAAAACAGUAUCCACCAGAGUUCAGGAAGAAACCAAUCCUGCUUGUGCAUGGAGAUAAACGAGAAGCUAAGGCUCACUUACAUGCCCAGGCCAAGCCUUAUGAAAACAUUUCCCUUUGCCAGGCAAAGUUGGAUAUUGCAUUUGGAACACAUCACACGAAAAUGAUGUUCCUGCUGUACGAAGAAGGCCUCCGGGUUGUCAUCCACACCUCCAACCUCAUCCAUGCUGACUGGCACCAGAAGACUCAGGGAAUAUGGUUGAGCCCCUUAUACCCACGAAUUACCCAUGGAACCCAUACAUCUGGAGAAUCAACAACACAUUUUAAAGCUGAUCUCAUCAGCUACUUGAUGGCUUAUAAUGCUCCUUCACUCAAGGAGUGGAUAGAUAUCAUCCACAAACAUGAUCUCUCUGAAACCAAUGUUUAUCUUAUUGGAUCAACCCCAGGACGCUUUCAAGGAAGUCAGAAAGAUAAUUGGGGACAUUUUAGGCUUAGAAAGCUUCUGAAAGAGCAUGCUUCUCCUAAAGGAGAGUCUUGGCCAAUAGUAGGUCAAUUUUCAAGCAUUGGGUCUAUGGGAGCUGAUGACUCGAAAUGGUUGUGUUCUGAGUUUAAAGAAAGCUUGGUGACGCUGGGGAAGGAAAGCCGGACCCCAGGGAGAAGUUCCAUUCCUCUUCAUCUGAUCUAUCCUUCUGUGGAAAAUGUGCGAACCAGCUUAGAAGGAUAUCCAGCUGGGGGUUCUCUUCCCUAUAGCAUCCAGACAGCUGAAAAACAGAAUUGGCUUCAUUCCUAUUUUCACAAAUGGUCGGCUGACACAUCUGGCCGCAGCAAUGCUAUGCCACAUAUUAAAACAUAUAUGAGGCCCUCUCCAGACUUCAGUCAGAUUGCUUGGUUCCUUGUCACAAGCGCAAAUCUGUCCAAGGCCGCAUGGGGAGCGUUAGAGAAGAACGGCACCCAGCUGAUGAUCCGUUCCUAUGAGCUUGGGGUCCUUUUCCUGCCAUCAGCAUUUGGCCUGGACAGCUUCAAAGUAAAACAGAAAUUCUUCUCAGGGAGCAAGGAGCCAGCGGCCGCCUUUCCUGUGCCAUUCGACCUGCCUCCAGAACUGUAUGGAAGUAAAGAAUAUCCAGUUCAGUUCCCGGCGUGUAAUAAUGGACCGGUGUUUAUUUUCUCCCCUUCCCCUUGCUGAGCGGAGGAUGAAAAGAGCCUAAGGCCCAUGUGGGACGGUCCCUAAACCCACCCAGCGUCUCAGGAUCUGAUGUCACAGAUUAAUACGGGAGAUCGUCACAGAAAAGAGAGUUAAUGGGUUUCAGAUAACACUGGAAUCACAAUUACCAAAGAUUGCAUCUCUACUAGGUCGGUAACCCAGUAUAAAAUAUUUUGGAGCUUUCCUUUGUAUUGCAAGCUGGCAAGUGUUUUAUCCAUUCGUUGAUUUCAGAGUAGGCUAAGGUAAAGUGGCAUCAGAAAUCUCAUUAGUUCAUCUCUUUGGGAUCACUCACACGCCAUAUACAAACACAGUCUGUGCCUGAUACAAGGAAAGAAAGGUGAUUGCUCAGGUGACAGACAGUGGCUUCUAUAGGUAGGAUAUCAAGUUCCCCUGAAGACAGUGGGAAAUGUGUGUAUGGGUGUUUGGACAUGGGGGUCAAGGCCUAACUGUAACACAAGGGCCAUUUCUUAGAGGAUUAGAGCAAAGAGCUUAUUUCCUGGCUAAGUAGAACGGGGUAUUGUAUUUGGGUUUGGCUGUUAAAAAACCUGAUGGACCUACACAGCAUAUAGAAUAAUGACAAUCCUCACCCACUGUGAGUUGAGGGUGGUGAUCAUUAUAAUAUUAUAGCAGCUAGCACUCAUCAAGUACUUAUGUGCCAGGAACUGCUAUGAGCACUUGACCUGAGUUUAUUGAAUCCUCACUGCCCCCAUGAUACCAGUACUAAUAUAACCCCUACUUUAUAGACAAGGAACCUAAGCACUCAGGUCAGUUUGGUCAGGGCCCCAUGUCUGCCAUGUCCAUGACCCCUUUACCAUCACCCUGUGCCACCUCCCCACAGAGAGCUAAGUUAUGGAGUUAAGAGAUGUCAGAUGCACGCAGUCCUCAACUGACUGACCACAGGGACAGAUGGAAUAGACACAGAGAUAAAACCCCUUGGUUGUCCCCUCAUCCCCAGCCUUCCUGCCAUGGCCUUAAUGUUGGCCUCACUGUUUCUCACCUAGGCUGCACUGCCUAUUCAUCUCCCUGGUGUUGGUCCCCUCCCAGUGGACAUCAUCUUCUCCCCUGCUGCCAUGCACCUCUCAUCUUGUCACACUCCUGUUUUAAAUCCUUCCAUUAUAUCACAGGAAAAAGCUCAUCCCAUUUAGCCUCUGAUCUCAAACUCUGAUUGUGUUAAGAUCACCUUUAGAACUUGGUAAGAAUGUGUAAUGCCAGGCCCCAGCCCAGACGGAUGGAAAGAAAUUCCCUCGAGGUGAGCUCUGGGGAAAUGCUCUGGCAAUUCUCACGUCAGCCAGGUUCGGGAACCACUGCGCUGACGUGGUCAAGUUCAGAAUUCUGGCUCCACGGCCUUCCUGCUCGUCUGUCUGUCCCCCUGGACUAUAAACUGAGAGGACCCCUGCUUUGUCUAGCAGAGUACCUGGCAUCUAACCAGCACUCGACAAAUAUUUCAAACAUAUGCAGGACUAUUUCAUGAGGCAAGUUUUUCUUUCAUGGGACAAUUUAGGAGGAUUGCUUAAAACAGGCUUUCAUCUAAGCCAGUAAGUGUGAAUGCUGACUUCCAGUAAUGGUCAGAAGACAACAGUCACAGCCACCUCUUACCUUCCUGUUAGCCUUUUUGCGUCUCUCUCCCCAGGUAGUGGUGAACCUUUCAGCCGGCAUGGCACAUGGUCAGCCCGUAGGCAGAGACAUUUGCUCAUCUAUCGAGCGGUGUGUCCAGGGAUUUGCCAAUGGAUAGUUAUCUUACUUGGUUAUCGUUGGCUAAUUGUGAGGGAGAGGAAUAAAUGCACUGGUGGUCUCCAAGAUGCUGGCUGACUGGCACAUGUUUGCAUCACAAACCCUGCCUCAGUGAAGAAUCUAAUAGCUACUGCCAUAGCAAGGAUCGGGGUGUCCUUUGCCUUGGGGAUGAAGUAGAGCUGAUGUUACCCAACGGAGCAGUCUGCAGGAAAAGAUGGGAGAAGUCCAGCCACAGAAGACCAUGUCCCCCGUGGAAGAAAGCCAGUGGUUCAGGCCAGUGGGGAGCUGUGGGGAGUCUCCAGCACUGCCAAACCCUCAGCCUUUGAUGAAGCGUGUCGCACAGGCCCUGGAUUAUGGCUCUCUCUCAGGCUUAACAAGCUUGCUUCAGGCUCUCCCACCAUCUCAAGGCCGAAGACAAGAGAACAGGGUUCUGAUAACUUGUUGCCAUCUUCAGCCUUCUUUCCCUGCACAUCUGCUGGGUCCUGCUGUUUGCAUGCUGGCGCGGCCGUUAUUCAACACCGUGAGGUGUGAGGAGAGCCUCCCUUUGUUUGCCAGGCCAUCCUCCGAGCUGUGCUCUCUGUUCGGGAAGAGGAGAAAGCUUCCCCGAGAGUGGGUUGGCGGUGCUGGGCGGCUGCUUCUGCCGAUGGUACCCUCAGCACACCUGCCGCGUGGCCGCCUUACUAUCGGCCAUGGAUUUGGAACAUUCCUUAUACCAAAGCACCAGAUACACAUGGGAAUAUGUGGGUUCCCUCCUGAGAAUCUUAAAG